RNAcentral lists this ribosomal RNA (352 nucleotides) under uncultured bacterium. Its description in RNAcentral is "bacterial SSU rRNA". It matches the Rfam family "Bacterial small subunit ribosomal RNA", at positions 29 to 408 of the family's 1533-position model. The record is from RNAcentral.
AACGAACGCUGGCGGCAGGCCUAAUACAUGCAAGUCGAACGCCGUAGCGAAUACGGAGUGGCAGACGGGUGAGUAACGCGUGGGAACCUUCCUAAUGGUACGGAAUAGCCCGGGGAAACCCGGAGUAAUACCGUAUAAGCCCGUAAGGGGAAGAUUUAUCGCCAUUAGAUGGGCCCGCGUCGGAUUAGCUAGUUGGUAGGUAACGGCCUACCAAGGCUACGAUCCGUAGCUGGUCUGAGAGGAUGAUCAGCCACACUGGGACUGAGACACGGCCCAGACCUCCUACGGGAGGCAGCAGUAGGGAAUAUUGGACAAUGGGCGAAAGCCUGAUCCAGCCAUGCCGCGUAGAGUG